RNAcentral lists this ribosomal RNA (253 nucleotides) under uncultured bacterium. Its description in RNAcentral is "partial 16S ribosomal RNA". It matches the Rfam family "Bacterial small subunit ribosomal RNA", at positions 524 to 776 of the family's 1533-position model. The record is from RNAcentral.
UACGUAGGGUGCGAGCGUUGUCCGGAAUUAUUGGGCGUAAAGAGCUCGUAGGCGGUUUGUUGCGUCGGCCGUGAAAACCUGCAGCUUAACUGUGGGCCUGCGGUCGAUACGGGCAGACUUGAGUUCGGUAGGGGAGACUGGAAUUCCUGGUGUAGCGGUGAAAUGCGCAGAUAUCAGGAGGAACACCAAUGGCGAAGGCAGCUCACUGGGACGGUAUUGACGCUGAGACGCGAAAGCGUGGGGAGCAAACAGG